Molecule: long non-coding RNA, 613 nt
Filed under: Citrus maxima (pomelo)
Lineage: Eukaryota; Viridiplantae; Streptophyta; Magnoliopsida; Sapindales; Rutaceae
Description: long non-coding RNA (CMAX_LNC002810)
Source: RNAcentral
GCUUUUGAUGACAACAUCAAUUUUGGUGAGAUGCGGCUAUAUUUUCGGCGAUUGGACGAUGAUUUUUCAUAACAUUAAAUGUUAUUCCGGCAAGACGGGCUUUUGACGGUUACAUCUCAAGAUUUUGACAUCAAAGCAAGGUAUUUUUUCUUUUCCAUAACGUUAAGUCAUCAAUUGGAUGUAGUUGGGUGUAUAUUUGUGUAUAUUUCAUGAUAGAUGAGCAUUUGGGGAAUAUUGUUUUGUUUUAAGUUUUCUAUUAGCAAUGGCACAUUAGGUGUUUGAUAAAAUGCCUCUUAGACUUUAUUUGUCUCAUUUUUUAUAGAUUAAGGUAUUAUGGGUUGAUGGUGGCAUGGGGGAAUUGUUGCAUUGCAAUUGUUUCCGAAAACGAUGUGUUACCGUGCGAGGAUCAGGUUGCUAGAAUUAGCCCAUCGCUCAGGUGAUAGGCGCCCGUUGCCCAAUCAAGAUUGCGUGAUUUGUUUUUUGAACUUUGGGCGACGAGUGAGAAGCAUCAUUGUUGCUAGAAUUUAGGGCGAGGGGCACCCGUCGCCCAAAAAUCCAAAAGCAACGUUGUUGGAAUUUUGGCCCAUCGCCCGGGCAACAACACUCGUCACCC